UACGUAGGGUGCAAGCGUUGUCCGGAAUUAUUGGGCGUAAAGAGCUCGUAGGCGGUUUGUCACGUCGGGAGUGAAAACUCAGGGCUCAACCCUGAGCGUGCUUCCGAUACGGGCAGACUAGAGGUAUGCAGGGGAGAACGGAAUUCCUGGUGUAGCGGUGGAAUGCGCAGAUAUCAGGAGGAACGCCGGUGGCGAAGGCGGUUCUCUGGGCAUUACCUGACGCUGAGGAGCGAAAGCAUGGGGAGCGAACAGG
Molecule: ribosomal RNA, 253 nt
Filed under: uncultured bacterium
Lineage: Bacteria
Description: partial 16S ribosomal RNA
Rfam family: Bacterial small subunit ribosomal RNA
Source: RNAcentral